CUCCCCUUUGACCUUUGUACUUUCCCUGGCUACAGCACUGGAACCCCUCCCCUCUCUGAGCUCAUCCAAUCAAUUUUCACCAAAACGAUUUAAGACAAAUGUGGGAAAUGAGAGGCGGCUGUUAUAGAAGACCCCAGACAUCUUUAUCCUUGAACGGACGGCCUGCAGGGUUCAUUCUUCAUUGCACAAUGCUGAUCACGAAGCCCAUCAGGAGUGCUGUAUCAGAGGGGUGAUGGAGGGCCUGAUGGAGGAGCAGACUGUCCCUGGAUCAGUUGAAGUUGCCGUCGUUUUAGAGGGUGCAGAUGUCUGAGGGGGAUUGCCACAGACUUUGGUGUGAAGUUUCACCUGCUCUACACUCAGCACUGAACAUCCAGAGAACUGGAGGUUCACUUUUAAGGCAGUCCAGAAAGUUCUCACAUAUUCUUAUAUAGGGUGAUUUUAUUGUUUCAAUGUUUUUCAGGCACAGUUUGGUCAGGUAUGAGAAACAGGACUACUCAGUUACAUUUAAGCUAGUUUACUAAAGUUCUGGGUUCAAAUAUACUCUUUCACAAAUGAAAACCAUGUGUUAGUGCGUCAGUGUGAUUUCUUUUUUUAAGCAUAGACCCUAAACACAAAUUUGUUAUAUGUCAAAUUUCUUAUAUGACAAAUUUCUUAUAUGUUAUAUGCUUUUUAUAUUUCUUAUAUGGGAGAAGCUGAUGGUCUUAGAACAACAUUAAUUAUGAUGCUGUAGGAACAGCACCAGCACAGGGGUAUCAGACUGUUAGUGGGACCUCCGUUGGGUGAUUCUGCUGCCCUGUUUGUGCUUCUUAUUGAAGAUACCUUCUCAGAGCUCACACUGUGUGACUCAGUGUGACUCGGCAGAUGUUUUGAGGCUUGUUUGACUGUUCAGCACGUGUUGGGGUUGAUGUUUGGUCUUCUGUAAAUGGAAUAUUGAAGGAAUGGAGAGACACACUUCGCUCUUUAUGGACUCCAUGCUGUACCUGCCACCAUCAUUCUACAUAUUUGGUGUUGAUUGCACUAUAUGGGUUGUACUGCUGUCUUGUGGUUGGUGUUCAGAAAUGUUUACUGCUGUCAGCUU
This is a long non-coding RNA of Archocentrus centrarchus (flier cichlid), 1078 nucleotides long. RefSeq lists it as uncharacterized. The record is from RefSeq and is a predicted model, not a curated record. The transcript has 3 exons. Lineage: Eukaryota; Metazoa; Chordata; Actinopteri; Cichliformes; Cichlidae.